Molecule: small nuclear RNA, 22 nt
Filed under: Arabidopsis thaliana (thale cress)
Lineage: Eukaryota; Viridiplantae; Streptophyta; Magnoliopsida; Brassicales; Brassicaceae
Description: snRNA_08216
Source: RNAcentral
CUUGAUCUUAGCCAAAAGGCCG